Molecule: ribosomal RNA, 460 nt
Filed under: uncultured bacterium
Lineage: Bacteria
Description: partial 16S ribosomal RNA
Rfam family: Bacterial small subunit ribosomal RNA
Source: RNAcentral
CCUACGGGAGGCUGCAGUGAGGAAUAUUGGUCAAUGGACGAGAGUCUGAACCAGCCAAGUCGCGUGAAGGAAGACUGCUCUAUGUGUUGUAAACUUCUUUUAUAUGGGAAAAAAACACGGUAUGCAUACACUCAUGUAUGUACCAUAUGAAUAAGGAUCGGCUAACUCCGUGCCAGCAGCCGCGGUAAUACGGAGGAGCCGAGCGUUAUCCGGAUUUAUUGGGUUUAAAGGGUGCGUAGGUGGAGGGUUAAGUCCGUUGUGAAAGUCUGCGGCCCAACCGCACGAUUGCAGUUGAAACUGGCAGGCUAGAGUACAGGAGAGGUGAGCGGAAUUCGUGGUGUAGCGGUGAAAUGCUUAGAUAUCACGAAGAACUCCGAUUGCGAAGGCAGCUUACUGGACUGUAACUGACGCUGAGGCUCGAAAGCGUGGGUAUCAAACAGGAUUAGAUACCCGGGUAGUC